CAGCUAGUGGAUGACUAGGCUCGAGCACUGAUUAAGGACGUGGCAAGCUGCGAUAAGCUUUGGCGAGAAGCAUGCAUUCGUUGAACCAAAGAUAUCUGAAUUAUUCAGUAAUGAAAGGGAACCCGGUGAACUGAAUCAUCUAAGUAACCGGAGGAAAAGAAAACAAUAGUGAUUCCCCAAUACGAGGCGAUCAAAAGGGGAACAGGACAAGCCGAAUCUACUACCGUGAGGUAGUUGAGUUGUGGUGCUGGUCAUAGGUUUUCUUGUGAGAAGAAGUUUUUUGGAACAUAACACCAAAGAGGGUGAUAGUCCCGUACUUGAAGCAAGAAAAGUUAAUUUCCAGUAAGAGAGUACUGUGCAUGGUUGUGCGCAGGAAUAUGGGUGCAUUAACAUCCAAUCCUAAAUAUGACUCGAGACCGAUAGAGAAUUAGUACCGCGAGGGAACGUUGAAAAGUAUCCUUAAUAGGAGCUGAAAAGCACCUGAAACUAGCUGGUUACGGGGAGGCAUGGCGUGAAAGGAAAGGCUUACGUGACAAUUAUCGAGAGGUAGUUGGUAAAGUAAGUUCCAGCGUUGUGUCGUACGUCGUGAAGCACGAGCGAGGGAAUUUGUUGUAGUGGCGAGGUUAACUCUUUUCAAGGAGGCAACCGAAGCGAAAGCAAGAGAACGCAACUCAUUUAUUUGAGUGAGGUUCAGACUUGGUAGGUUAAGUCACUACGAUCAGACCUGAAACCAGAUGACAUAAUCUUUGGCAGGUUGAAGCCGCCCUUCAAGGUGGUGGAAGACCGCAACUAGUGUUAGUCUAUCUACUUAGGUGACCUGAGAUUAGGCGUAAUAAGCGAAUCGAAUCUGGUGAUAGCAGGCUCCUCUUGAAAUAUCUCUGAGGAUAGCCUCGUCGGAGAAUGAGUAUGGUGUAGAGAUACUGGUUAAAAAGUGUUGCCCGGAAACGGGUAGCUUUUUUCCCAAACUCCGAAUCUAUACUCUUCGUAGAAGACGGGAGUAGGGGCAUAGGCGUAAGGUUUAUGUCCGUAAGGGAAAGAACCCAGCUUCGCGUUAAGGCCCUUAAAUGUUGGUUAAGUGUUAAGAAAGUGUGUCGUCGUUCUAAAACAGUUGGGAGGUAGGCUUAGAAGUAGCCAUCCUUUAAAGAAAGUGUAACAGCUCACCAACCUAGAUCCAUGGCCGCGAAAAUGAUCAGGGCUAAAACCAACUGCCGAUACGUGAAAAUUGUUGCAGUAGUAACAAUUUGUAAGGAGGUGCACGGAUUGCACAGAAGCUUCUUCGUAAGGAGGAGUGGAGCAGUUUGUGAUAUGGAUCCUCGCACUAGUAGUAACGAUAGAACUGUGAGAAUCAGUUCCGCCGAAAGGACUAGGGUUUCUUAGCGCUCAUUAUGAGCUAAGAGUUAGUCGGUCCUAAGUCGUCCCCUAACUGGGGUAACGACGAAUGGGAAACGCGUUCAUAGUCGCGUACUUUUUACAUAAAUUUGGCGACAAUAGAUAUGUUUUUGACAUAUUGGGCUAUCUGAAGUCUCACCGUCGUGAGAUCUAACAAGGAUAACUCUGUGGAGAGCUGUAAUGGCGAGAAGCAGAAUAAACUUGGAGUGGCAGAGAUGUUUUGGAAAGGCCUGGUGUCCGUGAAAAAAGAAUAUAUGUGAUUGUAAAAAACCGUACCCAGAACUAGGAAAAGUGCUCCUGGUUGAAAAGACUAAGGCGUAUUGGGGGAAUCAACUUUAGGGAAUUCGGCAAUCUAGCCCUGUAUCUUCGGUAUAAGGGGUGCCUGCAUAGUAGUAUGUAGGUUUCAAUGACAAGGGGUGUCCGACUGUUUCUCAAAAACACAGGUGCCUGCUAGCCAGUAAUGGUUUGUAUAGGUGCUGACUUCUGCUCACUGCCAGUAGGUGAAAAUCUGUUCCAACGGAUCUAAGCCCUGGUGAAGAGCGGGCCUAACUCUGAGGCUCUCACGGUAGCGUAAUACCUUGCCCGUUUAUUGCGGGCUUGCACCAAGGAAGUAAUGAGAUACCUGCUGUCCCAAAGUUGAACCCAAUGAACUUACUUCGCUGUGUAUAUGCUGCGGAACUCCAACGGGAAGAGAAGACCCCACGGAAGUUUACUACAGCCUGAUGUUGUGGUAUAGUUUCUUGUGUAUAGCGUAGUUGGUAGCAUUCGAUGCAAUUUCGUCAGGAAUUGUUGAUGCAAAAGUGUAACACCAACCUCAAGAAAGUAUACUGCUUACCUCGCAAGGGGGACACCAUUUGGUGGGUAGUUUGGCUGGGGCGGCACGCUCCUGAAAAGAUAUCAGGAGCGCCCAAAGGUCUGCUCAUUCGAGUCAGAAAUUCGAAGUAGAGUGCAAGAGCAAAAGCAGGCUUAACUGUGAUCCUAACAGCACGGAUCGCAGGAAGGAAACUUUGGUCUAGCGAACGCUAGUGUUGCCACUUAAUAGGGCCCUAGUCUAACAAUGAACCUAUCCUGGGGGUAAUUGAGUUGUCGCGAGUAAGAGUUCACAUCGACCUCGCGGUUUGCUACCUCGCCGUCGUCUCAUGGCAUCCUGGUUGUGCAUAAGCAGCCAAGGGUGGAGGGGUUUACUCAUUAAAGCCGUACGUUAGUUGGGUUAAGAACGGUGCGAGCCAGUUUGGAUACUAUCUGUUGGAGUUGUCGAUUGAUUGAGGGGAAGAUGCCACGAGUACGAGAGGAACAUGGCGUCGUAGCCUCUAGUGUACCAGUUGUCUGACAAGGCAACGCUGGGUAGCCACGCUAUAUUGGAUAAGAGCUGAAAGCAUCUAAGCACGAAGCCAUCCCUAAAAAGAAUCAAUCAU
Molecule: ribosomal RNA, 2804 nt
Filed under: Candidatus Iainarchaeum sp.
Lineage: Archaea; Nanobdellati; Candidatus Iainarchaeota; Candidatus Iainarchaeia; Candidatus Iainarchaeales; Candidatus Iainarchaeaceae
Description: 23S ribosomal RNA
Rfam family: Archaeal large subunit ribosomal RNA
Source: RNAcentral